RNAcentral lists this ribosomal RNA (253 nucleotides) under uncultured bacterium. Its description in RNAcentral is "partial 16S ribosomal RNA". It matches the Rfam family "Bacterial small subunit ribosomal RNA", at positions 524 to 776 of the family's 1533-position model. The record is from RNAcentral.
UACAGGGGGGGCAAGCGUUGUUCGGAAUUACUGGGCGUAAAGGGUUCGUAGGUGGCCACUUAAGUCAGACGUGAAAUCCCUCAGCUUAACUGGGGAACUGCGUCUGAUACUGAGUGGCUUGAGUGCAGGAGAGGAAUGCGGAAUUCCAGGUGUAGCGGUGAAAUGCGUAGAUAUCUGGAGGAACACCGGUGGCGAAGGCGGCAUCCUGGACCAAUACUGACGCUGAGGAGCGAAAGCCAGGGGAGCAAACGGG